This 238-nucleotide ribosomal RNA is filed under the name uncultured bacterium. RNAcentral describes it as "partial 16S ribosomal RNA". It matches the Rfam family "Bacterial small subunit ribosomal RNA", at positions 15 to 235 of the family's 1533-position model. The record is from RNAcentral.
GAUCAUGGCUCAGGAUGAACGCUGGCGGCGUGCCUAACACAUGCAAGUCGAACGAAGCACCUUUUGAGAUUCUUCGGAUGAUCGAUCGGUGACUGAGCGGCGGACGGGUGAAGGUAACGCGUGGGUAACCUGCCUCAUACAGGGGGAUAACAGUUAGAAAUGACUGCUAAUACCGCAUAAGACCACAGCACCGCAUGGUGCAGGGGUAAAAACUCCGGUGGUAUGAGAUGGACCCGCG